GAAGGAGAGAUGGUUCUCAGAGCCCAGGCCUCAUCUCUGCUGGCUUCCCACUGCCCUCAGGCAUCUGGUGAACGCUGGAGUCCUCACCGUCCGAGAUGCUGGGAGCUGGUGGCUAGCUGUGCCUGGAGCUGGGAGAUUCAUCAAAUACUUUGUUAAAGGUAUCCCAUCUGCAGCUCAAGCCUGCAGCCCCUCACCUUUUGGUGGCUCCUCAGGCCUCUAGGCUUCAUUCACCUUUCUCCUCUCCUGUGCCACUUCUCCGCUAGGGCGCCAGGCUGUCCUUGGCAUGGUCCGGAAGGCAAAGUACCGGGAGCUGCUCCUAUCAGAGCUCCUGGGCCGGCGGGCGCCUGUCGUGGUGCGGCUUGGCCUCACCUACCAUGUGCACGACCUCAUUGGGGCCCAGCUCGUGGACUGCAUCUCUACCACUUCGGGAACCCUCCUCCGCCUGCCAGAGACAUGAAGAUUCUGCUCAUCAUUGCUCAGCUCCUCAGAGUGGGCCGGGAGGGGACUAGAAGAGCUGCAUGAUGGUGGCUGAGACAGGGUCACCUUGGGAAGGCUUGGGAGCCAGGAUGAGUGUUGGGCUCUCGUGUGUGCAAAAGGUCAGAUGUGACUGCUGCUGUUUGCCUGGUUUCUGACCCAGUGGUGGGGUUUGAGCAAUGCUUCUCUGCCCUUCCAUGGAAAGUGGAACCAGAAAUGGUGCCAAGGCUGUGGCUGUUCCCUUUCGUGUAAAAUGGUGCUGUCUUGAAAUAGGAAGGUGGGAUUUCUGGGGAGGCUGGUGAAGGAGGGCAGGGUUCUUUUCCCUAUGCGUCAUGUUAAAAUUGCCAAAUAAAGUACCUCUGCCUGUGA
This 843-nucleotide small RNA is filed under the name Pongo abelii (Sumatran orangutan). RNAcentral's name for it is "retained intron". Lineage: Eukaryota; Metazoa; Chordata; Mammalia; Primates; Hominidae. The record is from RNAcentral.